UACAGGACUUAGAGUAGCAGGAGUGUC
Molecule: small RNA, 27 nt
Filed under: Bombyx mori (domestic silkworm)
Lineage: Eukaryota; Metazoa; Arthropoda; Insecta; Lepidoptera; Bombycidae
Description: ovarian small RNA-5948
Source: RNAcentral